This 452-nucleotide ribosomal RNA is filed under the name uncultured microorganism. Its description in RNAcentral is "bacterial SSU rRNA". It matches the Rfam family "Archaeal small subunit ribosomal RNA", at positions 330 to 745 of the family's 1478-position model. The record is from RNAcentral.
GUGCAGCAGGCGCGAAAACUCCGCAAUGCUCGAAAGAGUGACGGGGGGAUUCCAAGUGCCUACGCUUAGCGUAGGCUGUUCAGAUGCCUAAAAAGCAUCUGGAGUAAGGGCUGGGUAAGACGGGUGCCAUCUGCAGUGGUAAUGAAAAACUUGCUACUGCAAGGCAUAAGCCGCCGCGGUAAUACCCGCAGCCCGAGUGGUAGUCGCUUUUAUUGGGCCUAAAGCGUCCGUAGCCGGUCUGGUAAAUGCCUGGGGUAAAUCGUGGGGCCUAACCUCACGAACUCCGGGUAGACUGCCAGACUUGGGACCGGUUGAGGGAGAGGGUACUCCAGGGGUAGGGGUGAAAUCCUGUAAUCCUUGGAGGACCACCGGUGGCGAAAGCGCUCUCCUAGGACGGUCGACGGUGAGGGACGAAAGCCAGGGGAGCAAACCGGAUUAGAUACCCCCGUAGU